Molecule: long non-coding RNA, 1651 nt
Organism: Gallus gallus (chicken)
Lineage: Eukaryota; Metazoa; Chordata; Aves; Galliformes; Phasianidae
Source: Ensembl
AAAAAAAAAAAAAACAAAACAAAACAAAAAACCCCAAACCCAACCCCUUCAAAUACUCAUCUAAAUUAUUUAUGUUUUAGCUGUAGUCAACUCUCAUUUUCAUCCUUUAGCUUACCACUGGACAAUGGCUAGUUUCUGAGUGAGUCUGCUGAGGAAAAAGAGGGUUGAACAGGUCUUAUGUAGAUUAACAUCCAGCAAGAACCACUAGUUGGGAAGAGGUGGGGCACCUGGUUUAGGACCUGGCUGCACUGUCAUACAUCUGAAUGAGAAAAAAUGGUCUCCUUCCCUGAAUGAGUCAUUUCCUAUUUUUGUCAUCAGUUACUUGCAACUGUGCCUCAGCUGCCCAGAGGGAUGUGGGUUGGAGUCUUUGAGAUGACAAUGAGCUCUGGAUGUGGUGGGGCGGAUCUGUACUUUGCCAGGCUUGUACGUUUUUCCCAUGAACAAUUUCUUCUUUCACAGAUGCAGUUUAUUGCUGGUUCCAAUUCUGAAUGAGAGGUAGCCAGAAUUCAUGAAGAGUUCUUAGCACCUUACUUGGCUUCAUAGGGUGGUCAGAGAAGUUCUUAUCCCAGCUAUCUUCAAAGAAAGACAGAAGAUCUUAAGAACUGCAGGCUGCUAUUACAUCAGUUACUGACUUUUUAAACAUCACAUGAGAGUACAGCCAGUUUCUCGAGAGGAAUUAAUCCACCUGUAGGCUGCAACAAGGUCUAAAUAAGCUGCUUGGCACCAACCUCUAAUUUAUAGUUAGGGUCCUCCACAACCCCCCAUGAUGGACUGAAGCCAGCUGCCUGGGCCAGCACUCAUCUUUCCUACAGCAGGGCUCCUGAAUUGCAGUAGGAAAGCCAUUAUAUUUGGCUGUAGAUCCUAGAGAGGAACUCUUUGAGAGAAACACCAGAAGAGUGGUUUACAUGGCCAGACGUGGGCAUCCAAGUGCCCUUGGAGAUUGCCUGCUGUAUCCAAGUGCUGCUGCAGAAAGAGCUCCAGAGCUCCACAGGUUAUGUGGUGUACUUGUCAGCUCCAUGCAGAUGUCUUGGCUGCUCUAGAACAUCUCAAAGGAUGUGAUAGGCAUACCUGAAGUGAACUAUGCCUGUAUGUGCCUGGCUGGUUGGCUGAAUCACUUCAAGCUGCGUUGACUAGAGCUUCAUUGAUUCUAGUAAGUAGGCUAUCAAGAAAGUUGCCUUCUCUGUGGUCAUUAAAUGAAUAGACAGUCUUGUGCUCCAUGAAUAAUAGAUAAUUAUGGAACAGUAGAAGGAGGUGAUGGUGUCAUACAUUGCUGACACAUCACUACAUUGUGUGUUAUUUCAUCACCUACAGCCUGUUCCCCACCCGUCACGAGGAGGCAAUAAUAAAUCCCACUCUUCUUGAGUUAAAGGGCUUGACUCUUAGUCCACUUAAAGCAAGGGCAUCCAAGUGCAGCCCAGCAGCAGCAACGUGCAGCUGUGGCAAAUUUGGCCCACCGCUGCCAGCUGAAAAUGAAACAGACACAACCAGUGGCACUUUUGUUAGUCUAGACUAGGAUCUCACUGUGGCCCUGUAAAGGAUAUUGUCAGCAAACCUUUUGUCUGUUUUCAAGACAGCCAACCCUGGUCUUUCUUAACUGAGUUUUUGCACGUGACUGAGUGAAUUUAUGUAGUCAGGAUGGUGCAGCGCAGCU